CCUACGGGAGGCAGCAGUGGGGAAUAUUGCACAAUGGGGGAAACCCUGAUGCAGCGACGCCGCGUGAGUGAAGAAGUAUUUCGGUACGUAAAGCUCUAUCAGCAGGGAAGAAAAUGACGGUACCUGACUAAGAAGCCCCGGCUAACUACGUGCCAGCAGCCGCGGUAAUACGUAGGGGGCAAGCGUUAUCCGGAUUUACUGGGUGUAAAGGGAGCGUAGACGGCAGCGCAAGUCUGGAGUGAAAUCCCAUGGCUUAACCAUGGAACUGCCUUGGAAACUGUGCAGCUAGAGUGCAGGAGAGGUAAGCGGAAUUCCUAGUGUAGCGGUGAAAUGCGUAGAUAUUAGGAGGAACACCAGUGGCGAAGGCGGCUUACUGGACUGUAACUGACGUUGAGGCUCGAAAGCGUGGGGAGCAAACAGGAUUAGAUACCCGAGUAGUC
This 440-nucleotide ribosomal RNA is filed under the name uncultured bacterium. RNAcentral's name for it is "partial 16S ribosomal RNA". It matches the Rfam family "Bacterial small subunit ribosomal RNA", at positions 338 to 795 of the family's 1533-position model. The record is from RNAcentral.